GAUGAACGCUAGCUACAGGCUUAACACAUGCAAGUCGAGCGGUAAGGUCCUUCGGGACCCCAGAGCGGCGGACGGGUGAGUAACACGUGGAUAAUCUGCCUUCCAGUCCGGGAUAGCACAUGGAAACAUGUGAUAAUACCGGAUACGAUGUGCCUGCCACAUGGCGGGUGCAGGAAAGGUCCUGCGGGAUCGCUGGGAGAUGAGUCCGCGGCCCAUUAGCUAGUUGGUGGGGUAAAGGCCCACCAAGGCGACGAUGGGUAGCCGGCCUGAGAGGGUGGACGGCCACAUUGGGACUGAGACACGGGCCCAGACUCCUACGGGAGGCAGCAGCUAAGAAUCUUCCACAAUGGGACGAAAGUCUGAUGGAGCGACGCCGCGUGAACGAUGAA
This 389-nucleotide ribosomal RNA is filed under the name uncultured bacterium. RNAcentral's name for it is "bacterial SSU rRNA". It matches the Rfam family "Bacterial small subunit ribosomal RNA", at positions 28 to 412 of the family's 1533-position model. The record is from RNAcentral.